RNAcentral lists this ribosomal RNA (493 nucleotides) under uncultured bacterium. RNAcentral's name for it is "bacterial SSU rRNA". It matches the Rfam family "Bacterial small subunit ribosomal RNA", at positions 21 to 507 of the family's 1533-position model. The record is from RNAcentral.
GGCUCAGAUUGAACGCUGGCGGCAUGCCUUACACAUGCAAGUCGAACGGCAGCACGGGUGCUUGCACCUGGUGGCGAGUGGCGAACGGGUGAGUAAUAUAUCGGAACGUACCUUAUUGUGGGGGAUAACGCAGCGAAAGCUGUGCUAAUACCGCAUAAUCCCUUAGGGGGGAAGCGGGGGACCGUAAGGCCUCGCGCAAUUAGAGCGGCCGAUACCUGAUUAGCUAGUUGGUGAGGUAAAGGCUCACCAAGGCAACGAUCAGUAGCUGGUCUGAGAGGACGAUCAGCCACACUGGGACUGAGACACGGCCCAGACUCCUACGGGAGGCAGCAGUGGGGAAUUUUGGACAAUGGGGGCAACCCUGAUCCAGCAAUGCCGCGUGAGUGAAGAAGGCCUUCGGGUUGUAAAGCUCUUUUGUCAGGGAAGAAACGGCUUUUACUAACACAGUCUGCGAAUGACGGUACCUGAAGAAUAAGCACCGGCUAACUACGUG